This 389-nucleotide ribosomal RNA is filed under the name uncultured bacterium. RNAcentral describes it as "bacterial SSU rRNA". It matches the Rfam family "Bacterial small subunit ribosomal RNA", at positions 30 to 420 of the family's 1533-position model. The record is from RNAcentral.
AUUGAACGCUGGCGGCAUGCCUUACACAUGCAAGUCGAACGGCAGCGGACCUUCGGGUGCCGGCGAGUGGCGAACGGGUGAGUAAUAUAUCGGAACGUACCUUUCAGUGGGGGAUAACGUAGCGAAAGUUACGCUAAUACCGCAUAUUCUGUGAGCAGGAAAGCAGGGGAUCGCAAGACCUUGCGCUGAUUGAGCGGCCGAUAUCAGAUUAGCUAGUUGGUGAGGUAAAGGCUCACCAAGGCGACGAUCUGUAGCGGGUCUGAGAGGAUGAUCCGCCACACUGGAACUGAGACACGGUCCAGACUCCUACGGGAGGCAGCGAGUGGGGAAUUUUGGACAAUGGGCGCAAGCCUGAUCCAGCCAUGCCGCGUGAGUGAAGAAGGCCUCGG